UGGCUCAGGAUGAACGCUAGCUACAGGCUUAACACAUGCAAGUCGAGGGGCAUCAGGAAGAAAGCUUGCUUUCUUUGCUGGCGACCGGCGCACGGGUGAGUAACACGUAUCCAACCUGCCCUUUACUCGGGGAUAGCCUUUCGAAAGAAAGAUUAAUACCCGAUGGCAUAAUGAUUCCGCAUGGUUUCAUUAUUAAAGGAUUCCGGUAAAGGAUGGGGAUGCGUUCCAUUAGGUUGUUGGUGAGGUAACGGCUCACCAAGCCUUCGAUGGAUAGGGGUUCUGAGAGGAAGGUCCCCCACAUUGGAACUGAGACACGGUCCAAACUCCUACGGGAGGCAGCAGUGAGGAAUAUUGGUCAAUGGGCGCUAGCCUGAACCAGCCAAGUAGCGUGAAGGAUGAAGGCUCUAUGGGUCGUAAACUUCUUUUAUAUAAGAAUAAAGUGCAGUAUGUAUACUGUUUUGUAUGUAUUAUAUGAAUAAGGAUCGGCUAACUCCGUGCCAGCAGCCGCGGUAAUACGGAGGAUCCGAGCGUUAUCCGGAUUUAUUGGGUUUAAAGGGAGCGUAGGUGGACUGGUAAGUCAGUUGUGAAAGUUUGCGGCUCAACCGUAAAAUUGCAGUUGAUACUGUCAGUCUUGAGUACAGUAGAGGUGGGCGGAAUUCGUGGUGUAGCGGUGAAAUGCUUAGAUAUCACGAAGAACUCCGAUUGCGAAGGCAGCUCACUGGACUGCAACUGACACUGAUGCUCGAAAGUGUGGGUAUCAAACAGGAUUAGAUACCCUGGUAGUCCACACAGUAAACGAUGAAUACUCGCUGUUUGCGAUAUACAGUAAGCGGCCAAGCGAAAGCAUUAAGUAUUCCACCUGGGGAGUACGCCGGCAACGGUGAAACUCAAAGGAAUUGACGGGGGCCCGCACAAGCGGAGGAACAUGUGGUUUAAUUCGAUGAUACGCGAGGAACCUUACCCGGGCUUAAAUUGCAGUGGAAUGAUGUGGAAACAUGUCAGUGAGCAAUCACCGCUGUGAAGGUGCUGCAUGGUUGUCGUCAGCUCGUGCCGUGAGGUGUCGGCUUAAGUGCCAUAACGAGCGCAACCCUUAUCUUUAGUUACUAACAGGUUAUGCUGAGGACUCUAGAGAGACUGCCGUCGUAAGAUGUGAGGAAGGUGGGGAUGACGUCAAAUCAGCACGGCCCUUACGUCCGGGGCUACACACGUGUUACAAUGGGGGGUACAGAAGGCAGCUAGCGGGUGACCGUAUGCUAAUCCCAAAAGCCUCUCUCAGUUCGGAUCGAAGUCUGCAACCCGACUUCGUGAAGCUGGAUUCGCUAGUAAUCGCGCAUCAGCCACGGCGCGGUGAAUACGUUCCCGGGCCUUGUACACACCGCCCGUCAAGCCAUGGGAGCCGGGGGUACCUGAAGUACGUAACCGCAAGGAUCGUCCUAGGGUAAAA
RNAcentral lists this ribosomal RNA (1444 nucleotides) under uncultured organism. Its description in RNAcentral is "SSU rRNA". It matches the Rfam family "Bacterial small subunit ribosomal RNA". The record is from RNAcentral.